UAUUGGAGGCAUUGCCUGCCCAGUGACUAAAGUUAAACGGCCGCGGUAUCCUGACCGUGCAAAGGUAGCAUAAUCACUUGUUCCUUAAUUAGGGACUAGAAUGAAUGGCUAAACGAGGGUUCAACUGUCUCUUACUUUCAAUCAGUGAAAUUGACCUUCCAGUGAAGAGGCUGGAAUCUCCCAAUAAGACGAGAAGACCCUAUGGAGCUUUAAUUUACUAGUUCAACUUAUAUAAAAACAACCUAAUGGGCUAAAACAAAAUAAAUAUGAACUAAAAAAUUUCGGUUGGGGUGACCUCGGAGAAUAAAAAAUCCUCCGAAUGAUUUUAACCUAGACUCACAAGUCAAAGUAAUACUAAUAUCUUAUUGACCCAAUUAUUGAUCAACGGACCAAGUUACCCUAGGGAUAACAGCGCAAUCCUAUUUAAGAGUUCAUAUCGACAAUUAGGGUUUACGACCUCGAUGUUGGAUCAGGACAUCCCAAUGGUGCAGAAGCUAUUAAUGGUUCGUUUGUUCAACGAUUAAAGUCCUACGUGAUC
RNAcentral lists this ribosomal RNA (538 nucleotides) under Rattus norvegicus (Norway rat). Its description in RNAcentral is "partial large subunit ribosomal RNA". It matches the Rfam family "Bacterial large subunit ribosomal RNA", at positions 1844 to 2605 of the family's 2925-position model. Lineage: Eukaryota; Metazoa; Chordata; Mammalia; Rodentia; Muridae. The record is from RNAcentral.